UCUCUCACUGUCUCUGGUUCUCGGCUUCUGGUCAACAGCCUUAAACAAUAAUCUCAAUGCUGCAUCUCGAGAAAUGUUAAUUCCAAAGGCAGCUUGAACUUAGCCAACCCCAAGAGGACAAGGGAUGCUGAACAGGAAGCUUCAUCAUCUAAUAUAUUUAUGCUCACUGAGAAACGACACCAUUCACAGUUCAUGUCACGAUAAGCGGCUGAGUGGUCGUGCGCUUCCCUUGGUGUUUUGAUCGCUCUCAGAACCAUGCCAGCCUUAAACAAUAAUCUCAAUGCUGCAUCUCGAGAAAUGUUAAUUCCAAAGGCAGCUUGAACUUAGCUAACCCCAAGAGGACAAGGGAUGCUGAACAGGAAGCUUCAUCAUCUAAUAUAUUUAUGCUCACCGAGAAACGACACCAUUCACAGUUCAUGUCACGAUAAGCGGCUGAGUGGUCGUGCGCUUCCCUUGGUGUUUUGAUCGCUCUCAGAACCAUGCCAGACAUGCAGUUCUAGAUUUGAAGCUUUCGUGACUGCAAGGAUCCAUACUCUUUGGUUCUAUUAUUUUAUUUUUUACCUACGUGACUUUACCGAAUAGAACCAAAGAGACAUGCAGUCUUCACCAAAUGGCCAACAUCAACGCUGCAGCUGCAUGGCUACCAUUGUGUCCCUGUUAUUUGUGAUGAACACCAUCCUUGCCAUUGCCUUGGUGACCAGCAGCCUAUUCGUUGUCCACACAAUUAAAUCAGUCGCCACCAACUUUAAAGAAGAACAGCUUUUGAUCGUGGAUCAUCAGGAUGUUCAAAAGGUCACAGUGGACAGCCUUGAGCAGCAGAUCAAUGCCAAGAUGUCUGGCCUGAAGGAGCAGGUGGAUCAGCUGAAAGACAAAGUGCGCAUACUGAAUCAAAACGAGGCGUUUGACCUGGAUGUGGAGU
This is a non-coding RNA of Petromyzon marinus (sea lamprey), 919 nucleotides long. The record is from RefSeq and is a predicted model, not a curated record. Lineage: Eukaryota; Metazoa; Chordata; Hyperoartia; Petromyzontiformes; Petromyzontidae.